UUAUAUUUUGACACUAUAAAUAGAGAUGCAUCUAGGUGAUAUUUUCGACCAUCAACUUAAGAGCAAGCUUGGAUACAGUAAGGUGCGGCACGAUUAAGACGUUGACAUUGAUUUGAAUUACUCAAGUUAAUUUUCAAAGCUCAAGUUUCAGGUGUGGGAUUUAUUUCAUUACAUGCUGUGUUUACCAUAUGUGAGUUAAAUUAAAUAUCGCUAUGGGCCAGUAUAAUUGGUCCAGGAUGGUAAAGAUCCUUGGUAUGCCGCAAUGCGAUAUACAUGUUAAAGUUAUGAUUGCAAUCAUAGUCGCCAAGGGCCAGCAUAAUUGGUCCAGGAUGAUAAAGAUCCUUGGUAUGUCACCGUUCGACUUUCAAUUAUGAAUGUUACAUUGGAUCAUAUGUGUUACCAUUUUAUUAACGUGGACAAUGAUUGCAUGUUCCCACACUGAGUGUACUCUGUAUGCUCAUCUCAUACUUAACAUUUUCAGGUUUUUAAAGGUCGGAGGAGCGUGGAAGGUCGAAUGGCGAAUCAAAUAUUUUAAAUUUAGCUAUACUUAAAGAUGUUAUGAUGAGUAAAGUGUUUUAAAUAAAAUGAUUAUUUCUUUAUUUUCACAUUAAA
Molecule: long non-coding RNA, 612 nt
Organism: Salvia miltiorrhiza (redroot sage)
Lineage: Eukaryota; Viridiplantae; Streptophyta; Magnoliopsida; Lamiales; Lamiaceae
Exons: 2
Source: RefSeq, a predicted model, not a curated record